ACCCAACACUGGCACUGCCGUACACUCACCAACAACUACACACGCGAUGCAGUCCGAGGGGCGAAACGACGCCGGUUGACUGCUCGUGGUGUAGAAAAAGUAUGGAUACGCAACUUAAAGCGAUCCAAAAAGUACAACGGAAGCAUCUUUUGCCUGGGCUAACCUUAUGCUACAAGCUGCUACAACAAACAUGGCGGGGAGGAGAAUGGGUUCUCUAACCCCGCCUGCACUACCUUUGGAACCAUAAAACUAACGAAGCAACACAACGGUCAGUAAAAAUAGCAACCCACGAGGUUAUCAAAAUGCCUACAACACGUACGAUUUCCAUGAAGCCUUCGGAAGGGCAACACGAAAAUUAAGCAUCGAGCCAAAACGGUCGUGACAGAUUUUUUCCGGAUGUACUAAGCACCGCGUAGAAUCCUGCUUACGUUUUGCAGCAACACAUCCACGGAUUCUCCUGCACGAUGGACCAACUAGGACGGUCAUCAG
RNAcentral lists this unclassified non-coding RNA (489 nucleotides) under Allium bigelovii. RNAcentral describes it as "partial external transcribed spacer". The record is from RNAcentral. Lineage: Eukaryota; Viridiplantae; Streptophyta; Magnoliopsida; Asparagales; Amaryllidaceae.